GAUUCUGGCUCAGGAUGAACGCUAGCUACAGGCUUAACACAUGCAAGUCGAGGGGCAGCGAGAGGAAGCUUGCUUCCUGUCGGCGACCGGCGCACGGGUGAGUAACGCGUAUCCAACCUGGCCCUUAGUAGGGGAUAGCCCGGCGAAAGUCGGAUUAAUACCCUAUGUUGUUCAAUGAGGACAUCUGAUCUGAACUAAAGGUUUACCGCUAAGGGAUGGGGAUGCGUCUGAUUAGCUUGUUGGCGGGGUAACGGCCCACCAAGGCGACGAUCAGUAGGGGUUCUGAGAGGAAGGUCCCCCACAUUGGUACUGAGACACGGACCAAACUCCUACGGGAGGCAGCAGUGAGGAAUAUUGGUCAAUGGGCGAGAGCCUGAACCAGCCAAGUAGCGUGCAGGAAGACUGCCCUAUGGGUUGUAAACUGCUUUUAUAGGGGAAUAAAGUGAGGUAUGCAUACCUUUUUGUAUGUACCCUAUGAAUAAGGACCGGCUAAUUCCGUGCCAGCAGCCGC
This 511-nucleotide ribosomal RNA is filed under the name uncultured bacterium. Its description in RNAcentral is "bacterial SSU rRNA". It matches the Rfam family "Bacterial small subunit ribosomal RNA", at positions 15 to 518 of the family's 1533-position model. The record is from RNAcentral.